AGGGUCUAGAAUCCUGAUGGUGGCAUUUGUGCUGAAAGUAGAAUUUGGAGGCUUGUGUGGUCUCAGUGGCAUUUAAAGAUAAGGAUUUGACAAGGUCACCCUGGGGAGGGGGCGGAAAGUGUGGAGAACUGAGAGACUGUAUGAGCAGAGAGAGUGGAAGAAAUCAGACAGAAUAUUCCAAAGCAGAGAGCUGAACUAGGGAAGGAGUAGUCAAUGGCAUGAAAUGACUCAUUGAGUCCUACAGCCCAGAGGUGUUUAACUGUUGACCUUGGAGAGGGCCGGUUCAUGGGCAGUGGAGACGGAGAUUAGAGUGUGGGGUUAUGGUGGCAAAGAGAUUGGCGUGACUCAGCAAGAUAGGGAAUGCAUGAUGCUUAAAAUAAUGACUGUGCUCCUGGAGAGUCAGAGGUCACCCAGGUUCAGGAUUAAAAAAGGCCCAUCUUCCAGGUAUGUUACUUUUACUUGACAAGAGAAAAAAUGUUCAUACACAAUGUGAUGAGGUGUUGGUUAACCGUGGUCCACAUAUACAACAGUGAUCCCAUGAAGAUCAUAUAUCCUAGUGAGGUCAUAGCAGUCUUAGUUUAUAUAAGUACACUCUAUGAGGUUCACAAAAGAACAAAAUCACCUAACAACAGAUUUCUCAGAACAUAUCCCUGCCCUUAAGUGAUGCAUGAUUGUAUAUUAGUCCACCUGUCUAUCCCUAUUUCAAAGAUCCAGAUAAAGUCUGGAAAGCUCAUUUCAUUCGUGGCAGCCCAAAAUCUUCUGCAAGGUUACUGAAAAUUCUGGGUGGAUUUGGGGGCUUACCUGCUUAUGGCUGGCUUUGGCUCCAUACCAAGAGUGCAUCUUGCAAACCUAUGAUUAAUGUCCCUAUUUCAAGCCACAUUGACCCCAUUAUCACCCUUUCGUGAUCCCUACCGAUUCAAUAUUACAUGAAAAUGUGGGAAAAGAAAGUGGGAUUAACAUUAGAGCAACACAAAGAGCUACAAUUUGAACAUGGGAGAUAUCUGUUAGUUAUUAAAAAAUCCCCUGGCUAACUCACUACCAGAGAUGUUUUCCAAGUUUUAUCCCACAUAAUAGUCUGUGUUUCCUGGCCAGCUUAUCACUUUCUUCCUCUUCCUCUUCUCUUUUCAUGGUUGGGCCUCAGCACCACCCUUCUAGAUUACCCUUGGGAGUUCCAGUUCUUUUCCCUCUGUCAUGCCCAGCAAACUCUUGCCAUCCUUUCCCUAAGGGCAGGUCUCCCUCUACCUUUGCAAACUCAAACAGGUCAAUGUAGUCAGUAGAUUGAAAGGGCUUUUUAUUUAACAAGAGCCACCUUACAGUUAUAAUUUGUGAAUAGAAUUUUCUUCUCUCUGAAAAAUGGUAUACACUAUCCUUAAUUACUGUGAAACCCCUUGUUGAACAACUCACUAUCUGUUACCUG
This 1417-nucleotide long non-coding RNA is filed under the name Marmota monax (woodchuck). Lineage: Eukaryota; Metazoa; Chordata; Mammalia; Rodentia; Sciuridae. The record is from RNAcentral.